AAAACGUCAUAAAUAUAUGAUCAAACCACUUGCAAAUCUCCAAAUGUUAAAUCUUAGUUGGCAUUCAACUAAUUAUUAUUAUUAUUAUUAUUAUACAUAUAUUGAUAUCUUCUACAAAAAUAUGCAUACAUAUAUUUGUAUAUCCUUUUUUUUUUUUUUUUUUUUUUGUCUUUUUCUAUCUUCCAACAUUCUUUUGACUAUCAAAAUGGUAUCUUCUUCUUGAUACCACAAAUAUUAAAUAUCCAAAUCAAUUAAGCAGUUCAAAUUGGUCAUUUUGCAGCACAAAAAUAUCACAUAUACACAAGAAAUGGCUAGUUCUUGAUUUUUUUUUUGCUUUUUUUUUUUUUGCCCUAGAAUAUUUAGAACUUCAAUUUGAUUUUUAUCCCUGGAACUGAAGAUGUGGGCUCAAAAUCAGUUGCUGGUUCAAGAAUGGCUGGUUUAAGAAAUUGUAUUGAUGGUGAUGAGGCAUGUGAUCAGUUUGGUUGCUACUGUUAGUGAAACAGCAAGAAUUGAUGAUUUUCUUUGAUGGGUUAUGCAUGUCUUCUUGAUCAACAGUAGAAAUUGGGCGUUUGAGCUUGUUUUCCAUAUUUGGCAUCAAUGGACCAUUCAACUGUGGUAACUUUUGAAGCAAGAAACGAUUGCUGCUGCUGCCGCCGCCGCCGCCGCUGCCGCUGCCAUUAGCGGUAGGAGGGUUGUAGUUGUUGAAGAAAGGAUCUGAACUCGUUGCAUUAUUGAAUAAUGUUGGGGUUGAAUCAUACCCACUUGGAUUGAACUGGUUAUCUGAUAAGAAACUACUUAGCAUAGAGUAGUCCAUGGCAUCUAAUAGGUUUGAGAAAGAAACUGAUUUUUGGGGCAUAAGCGGUUUGUUGCUUAUUAUGGGAUUCUUCAAGCUUGGCGAAAGAGUUUCUUGAACAAAUUCUUCUUCUUCAUCUUCUUGAUCUUGAUCACUAG
This 951-nucleotide long non-coding RNA is filed under the name Jatropha curcas. RNAcentral describes it as "long non-coding RNA (JCUR_LNC003420)". The record is from RNAcentral. Lineage: Eukaryota; Viridiplantae; Streptophyta; Magnoliopsida; Malpighiales; Euphorbiaceae.